Molecule: long non-coding RNA, 3093 nt
Organism: Anguilla rostrata (American eel)
Lineage: Eukaryota; Metazoa; Chordata; Actinopteri; Anguilliformes; Anguillidae
Exons: 2
Source: RefSeq, a predicted model, not a curated record
GUGGUGUCUUAACAGCAACAACAAUAAUAACAAUCCUAAUCCUAAUAUACUAAUUCAAAUACCAAUUCGAAGUUUGACUAUUGUGUAAUAUUAUAUGAAACUGUACUCUAGUCCGCCAAAGGAGCAGUCAAUCACCAUGUUGCUUUUUCGUUUAAAGCAGACUGUCCUUCAUUAACUCAUUCAGUAGUUCAGUACUACGUUUUUUCACAUUUCAAAUUUUAAUAGUCACAAUAGCCUGUCAUAUGCCUAUGACUGUAUGAGAAUGCUCAGUAGUGACACACGAAUUAAUACGUGUGGUCGAGGAGGCAUCGACCUUGUUCCGGGAAGUGAAGCAACUGUGUACCCUGUCUGUCCACUAUUUGUCCAAUAUUAAAGAUACUUGAGGAGCAUGCUCACAUGAUCAACACACAACUCCCACGCAGUCUGAUAUUUAAGUCGAGUCUUCUGCCAGCAGCACCAAGAACAUCACAGGAUGACCUGCAAUUCUAGCUGCACCAUUUCAGGUGAGAAGAUGAAACCGAGCGUUCUAUACCCGGUGGCGCUUUUCACGACGGGUUUGAUUGGUAAUAUCAUCGCUCUUUGUAUCAUUUUUCGACACAAAAGCAUCGCACCGGGCAAACGUGUUUCAGUUUUCUAUGUGUUGGUCUCAGGCUUGGCUUGGACGGACCUGCUGGGAAAAGUUUUACUGAGUCCAGUAGUAUUGGCAUGUUAUGCACUUUCCAAAUGUCUAUCGCAAAUCAGCAGACACUUGUGCAACACUUUUGGGUUGCUGAUGUCUUUCUUUGGACUGUGCCCCACACUAAUCCUACUGGCAAUUGCAGUGGAAUGUCUGCUCUCCGUUGGAUAUCCUUAUGUCUACAAUCGGCAAGUUACCCGGAGGAGAGCGCUGAUGUGCUUAUUCAGCAUCUACGCGUUCAGUUUUCUCUUCUGCGUCCUGCCCCUCUUCGGUUUCGGCGACUACCGGCAGUACCACCCCGGGACCUGGUGCUUUAUCAGACUGAAUGACACGAGACCCGCGAACAAGGCGUUUUCCUUGGUAUAUGCUACGCUCUUGACAUUGGCUAUCCUUGCAGUGGUUAUCUGCAAUAUGCUGGUCAAAAUCAACCUGAUGAAGAUGUACAAGCUUACCCGCAAAAGGUGCAUUUACAACGCCAGCGCGCGAACGAGAACCACCGCGUCUCCCCAGCAUUCCGAGGAGCUGGGUCACUUGGUCGUUCUCAUGCUGAUGACCUUGAGCUUUCUCAUUUGCUCCAUCCCUGUAACGGUCCGGGUUUACACUGGUGCCUUUUCUUCAUACGAAUGUGCACCGUGGGAGGAAGAGCAGCGGGACUUGUUGGCAAUGCGUUUCCUCUCGGUCAACUCCAUUGUGGAUCCUUGGGUUUUCAUCAUCUUGCGCACCUCCCUCUGCCGCAAACAGUUGCACAAGCUGUUUGAUAAACUAUGUAUGUCACGUACGCCACGGACGACUUCAGCGACACCAGAUCCCAACCCUUGCCACAUGCGUACCGGUAGUCUUGGAGACGGUGGUCACACCCCAAGCACCGUACAGGAUCGCCUGGAAUUAACUGCCUGGGAUGAUUUUCAAGGGCCGAAAUAGCGCGCAGAUAAAUUUCAAGAUGCAUGUGAAAAAAAACUGCUGCGCAGUGGGAUUACAGUCUUUCUAUUUCCUGACAAUGUGGCUGUAUUACUGCUUGUUAGCCUAUGUCGCGGUACGACAGAAUCACCGCCAUUUGUUUUGUAAAAGGACGAAGAAAGACUAACUGCUACCUAACUGUGUACAGUAGGCUAAUUCAACCACUAAAGACCAAUAUAGCUCUGUCUGCUUAGGAGCAUACCCAUCUUGCUAUUUUAACUCAAGGCGCGUGUUUUUAUUUUGUUUACUGACGACUUUAGGGUUAAGUUCAUAAUUCCAGCGAGAUUUCCAACCCCACAAGUCAUUAAAAUAUACAUUUAAGCCUUUAGCAAUCGCUUUUUAACCAGAGCGUCUUCCAUAAGUACGCACGUCAACGUUUAGGAAACGAGAAACGCUGAGGACUGUGUGACAACCAAUAGUAGAAAUUAAUACGUACAUUUACGACAAAUGUAAGUACCAUACUAGGGGCAAGAGGGAGGUUGAGAGCAUACUGGUGCUCAAUGUAGCAAGUCUGCGAUAGACAGUUACUCAACGGUCCAGCUUGUGGUGGGGAGCUUAUUCCACCACUAGCGAGCAAAGAGGCAUGACUCAGAGAAGGGGGAGAUAGUACGAGACAUGACUUUAGGGAAGGGAAGGCCGUCAGAGAAAGAGGAGCAGAGUGGUCUUGCAGGAGUGUGUAUGGUAAUGAACCUCGAGAAAGAGGGAACGGUGCCUGUUGAUGCACCAUCGAUGGGACUAGGAAUGUGUAUUUUAUUUUGGCCACAACUGGUUAGCAAGCUUUGUCCGGAUCGUGUUUUAUUUAUUAUGAAGCAAAACUGCAAAAUUUUGCUUUAAAAAUGUUUUUUUUUUCCCCGUACAUCUUGAAAUCGAACCAGUAAAGGUUUAAAGACCAAAAUGUUUCUAAAGGUGUAACAAAUAGCGAAAAAUGCUUGAGUGCCAGUAAUUUUGACCCCCAUUAUAUUUACUGUGGUUUCCGGGAUUGCAUAAAAAUGGGAAAACUGAGCAUAACAUCUUUUCAAUAAAUGGAAAGCGCAACGAUAAUUAAGGAACAUAAGUCUUGAUCCUGGCAUACAAAGUAAUAAACCAGAUUUGUUUGUUUAAUUAUUAAUCAGUGAUAUAAAUCAUUUAUUUGAAAAACAAAGAAAAAUACAAGAUUGUUGGCCCGUGUUUUGUUUAUUUUUUCCCUGUAUUUUAAUCUCUGUCAUAUCAGGAAUACUUGGAAAAACCAAAGAGAUCAUGUUAUGUCCAAGAUCAAGAGCAGAAUUUUAACCAUUUCCAACCUCAUCCUUUUAAAGUUAUUUUAUGUUUUCAUCAGGAAGCUUGGCUGUCCUUCUGUUCACCAGCUGAAAAGUAGCAAGUUCACAAGAGUGCAUUCUGACAGUAUUUUGGAUUCAUUUAUUUUGCAUACAAGGUUUUGUGUACAUACCCCCCAAAAAUAAAUAAAUGAAUAAUACAUACUA